GAGUUUGAUCCUGGCUCAGCCUGAACGCUGGCGGCGUGGCUAAGACAUGCAAGUCGUACGGGGCCGUAGCAAUACGGUCCAGUGGCGGACGGGUGAGUAAAGAAUCGCUAACGUGCCCCGAUCCCUGGGAUAGCCGGCCGAAAGGCCGGGUAAUACCAGAUGACGUGACCGCGAGGCAUCUCGUGGUCCCCAAAGGGAAACCGGUCCGGGAGCGGGCGAUUUCGUAUCAGCUAGUUGGUGGGGUAACGGCCCACCAAGGCGACGACGCGUAGCUGGUCUGAGAGGACGGCCAGCCACAUUGGGACUGAGACACUGCCCAGACUCCUACGGGGGGCUGCAGUAACGAAUCUUCCGCAAUGCACGCAAGUGUGACGGAGCGACGCCGCGUGGAGGUUAAGUCCUUCGGGAUGUAAACUCCUGUCAGGGGUUACCAAGUUCUGAGGAGCCCCAGAGGAAGGCACGGCUAACUCUGUGCCAGCAGCCGCG
This 486-nucleotide ribosomal RNA is filed under the name uncultured bacterium. Its description in RNAcentral is "bacterial SSU rRNA". It matches the Rfam family "Bacterial small subunit ribosomal RNA", at positions 9 to 519 of the family's 1533-position model. The record is from RNAcentral.